This 327-nucleotide ribosomal RNA is filed under the name uncultured eukaryote. RNAcentral's name for it is "partial 18S ribosomal RNA". It matches the Rfam family "Eukaryotic small subunit ribosomal RNA", at positions 1470 to 1796 of the family's 1831-position model. The record is from RNAcentral.
CCCUUAGAUGUUCUGGGCCGCACGCGCGCUGCACUGACGAAUGCAACGAGCUUAUAACCUUGGCCGAAAGGUCUGGGUAAUCUCCAAAUUUCGUCGUGAUGGGGAUAGAUUAUUGCAAUUAUUAAUCUUCAACGAGGAAUGCCUAGUAAGCGCAAGUCAUCAGCUUGCGUUGAUUACGUCCCUGCCCUUUGUACACACCGCCCGUCGCUCCUACCGAUUGAAUGGUCCGGUGAAGCGUUCGGACCGUGGCCUUUGGACGGUUCGCCGUCUGUUGGCUGCGGGAAGUUCGUUAAACCUUAUCAUUUAGAGGAAGGAGAANUCGUAACA